CCUACGGGGGACAGCAGUGAGGAAUAUUGGUCAAUGGUCGGGAGACUGAACCAGCCAAGCCGCGUGAGGGAUGAAGGUACAGAGUAUCGUAAACCUCUUUUGUCAGGGAACAAAGGCGGGGACGUGUCCCCGGAUGAGUGUACCUGAAGAAAAAGCAUCGGCUAACUCCGUGCCAGCAGCCGCGGUAAUACGGAGGAUGCGAGCGUUAUCCGGAUUUAUUGGGUUUAAAGGGUGCGCAGGCGGUCUGUUAAGUCAGCGGUCAAAGCCCGGGGCUCAACCCCGGCCCGCCGUUGAAACUGGCAGUCGCGAGUUGGAGAGAAGGAUGCGGAAUGCGCGGUGUAGCGGUGAAAUGCAUAGAUAUCGCGCAGAACUCCGAUUGCGAAGGCAGCAUGCCGGCUCCACACUGACGCUGAGGCACGAAAGCGUGGGUAUCGAACAGGAUUAGAUACCCUGGUAGUC
This 459-nucleotide ribosomal RNA is filed under the name uncultured bacterium. RNAcentral describes it as "partial 16S ribosomal RNA". It matches the Rfam family "Bacterial small subunit ribosomal RNA", at positions 338 to 795 of the family's 1533-position model. The record is from RNAcentral.